RNAcentral lists this ribosomal RNA (592 nucleotides) under uncultured bacterium. RNAcentral's name for it is "bacterial SSU rRNA". It matches the Rfam family "Bacterial small subunit ribosomal RNA", at positions 334 to 917 of the family's 1533-position model. The record is from RNAcentral.
UACUCCUACGGGAGGCAGCAGUAGGGAAUCUUCGGCAAUGGACGGAAGUCUGACCGAGCAACGCCGCGUGAGUGAAGAAGGUUUUCGGAUCGUAAAGCUCAGUUGUAAGAGAAGAACGAGUGUGAGAGUGGAAAGUUCACACUGUGACGGUAUCUUACCAGAAAGGGACGGCUAACUACGUGCCAGCAGCCGCGGUAAUACGUAGGUCCCGAGCGUUAUCCGGAUUUAUUGGGCGUAAAGCGAGCGCAGGCGGUUAGAUAAGUCUGAAGUUAAAGGCUGUGGCUUAACCAUAGUACGCUUUGGAAACUGUUUAACUUGAGUGCAAGAGGGGAGAGUGGAAUUCCAUGUGUAGCGGUGAAAUGCGUAGAUAUAUGGAGGAACACCGGUGGCGAAAGCGGCUCUCUGGCUUGUAACUGACGCUGAGGCUCGAAAGCGUGGGGAGCAAACAGGAUUAGAUACCCUGGUAGUCCACGCCGUAAACGAUGAGUGCUAGGUGUUAGACCCUUUCCGGGGUUUAGUGCCGUAGCUAACGCAUUAAGCACUCCGCCUGGGGAGUACGACCGCAAGGUUGAAACUCGAAGGAAUUGACGGA